RNAcentral lists this ribosomal RNA (397 nucleotides) under uncultured bacterium. Its description in RNAcentral is "partial 16S ribosomal RNA". It matches the Rfam family "Bacterial small subunit ribosomal RNA", at positions 523 to 918 of the family's 1533-position model. The record is from RNAcentral.
AUACGUAGGGGGCGAGCGUUGUCCGGAAUGAUUGGGCGUAAAGGGCGCGUAGGCGGCGCGGUAAGUCUGGAGUGAAAGUCCUGCUUUCAAGGUGGGAAUUGCUUUGGAUACUGCCGCGCUUGAGUGCAGGAGAGGUUAUCGGAAUUCCCGGUGUAGCGGUGAAAUGCGUAGAGAUCGGGAGGAACACCAGUGGCGAAGGCGGGUAACUGGACUGAAACUGACGCUGAGGCGCGAAAGUGUGGGGAGCAAACAGGAUUAGAUACCCUGGUAGUCCACACUGUAAACGAUGAAUGCUAGGUGUAAGAGGUAUCGACCCCUUUUGUGCCGGAGUCAACACAAUAAGCAUUCCGCCUGGGGAGUACGGCCGCAAGGUUGAAACUCAAAGGAAUUGACGGGG